This 492-nucleotide ribosomal RNA is filed under the name uncultured bacterium. RNAcentral describes it as "partial 16S ribosomal RNA". It matches the Rfam family "Bacterial small subunit ribosomal RNA", at positions 29 to 507 of the family's 1533-position model. The record is from RNAcentral.
AGUGAACGCUGGCGGUAGGCCUAACACAUGCAAGUCGAACGGCAGCACAGUAAGAGCUUGCUCUUACGGGUGGCGAGUGGCGGACGGGUGAGGAAUACAUCGGAAUCUACUUUUUCGUGGGGGAUAACGUAGGGAAACUUACGCUAAUACCGCAUACGACCUACGGGUGAAAGCAGGGGAUCUUCGGACCUUGCGCGAUUGAAUGAGCCGAUGUCGGAUUAGCUAGUUGGCGGGGUAAAGGCCCACCAAGGCGACGAUCCGUAGCUGGUCUGAGAGGAUGAUCAGCCAAACUGGAACUGAGAAACGGGCCAGACUCCUACGGGAGGCAGCAGUGGGGAAUAUUGGACAAUGGGCGCAAGCCUGAUCCAGCCAUACCGCGUGGGUGAAGAAGGGCUUCGGGUUGUAAAGCCCUUUUGUUGGGAAAGAAAAGCAGCAGGUUAAUACCCCGCUGUUCUGAAGGUACCCAAAGAAUAAGCACCGGCUAACUUCGUG